GGUAAGAUCCCUUAAAGAUGAUGAGGUUGAUAGGUCUGGGGUGGAAGUGUGGCAACACAUGGAGCUGACAGAUACUAAUCGAUCGAGGGCUUAACCAAUU
This 100-nucleotide ribosomal RNA is filed under the name Exobacillus caeni. Its description in RNAcentral is "Bacillus sp. HB172195 partial 23S ribosomal RNA". It matches the Rfam family "Bacterial large subunit ribosomal RNA", at positions 2827 to 2925 of the family's 2925-position model. Lineage: Bacteria; Bacillati; Bacillota; Bacilli; Caryophanales; Guptibacillaceae. The record is from RNAcentral.